RNAcentral lists this long non-coding RNA (283 nucleotides) under Medicago truncatula (barrel medic). RNAcentral's name for it is "long non-coding RNA (MTRU_LNC006418)". The record is from RNAcentral. Lineage: Eukaryota; Viridiplantae; Streptophyta; Magnoliopsida; Fabales; Fabaceae.
CUUCCUCUCUCUCAUCGAUUCUUCUCUCUUGCCGUCGUCUACAACCUCCUUCGCCGCCAUCAUCGUCGGGUCACCAUCAUCUUCCUCCUCUCUUUCGCCUGAUUCGUCUUCUUUCUUCCUCUCUCAGACUCAUUCUCUCCCCACGAUCAUUCUCUCUCCACCGUCACCACCACCAUUCUCAACCGCCGUCUCACCUUCUCACCACCACCGUCGCUUCAGAUCCGACACCAUCCUCUCACCACCGCAAACUCAGAACCCAUAAACAAGAGGAAGAAUAACAGAA